AAUGAACGCUGGCGGCAUGCCUAACACAUGCAAGUCGAACGAGACCUUCGGGUCUAGUGGCGCACGGGUGCGUAACGCGUGGGAAUCUGCCCUUGGGUUCGGAAUAACAGUUAGAAAUGACUGCUAAUACCGAAUGAUGUCGUAAGACCAAAGAUUUAUCGCCCAGGGAUGAGCCCGCGUAAGAUUAGGUAGUUGGUGUGGUAAAGGCGCACCAAGCCGACGAUCUUUAGCUGGCUGAGAGGAUGAUCAGCCACACUGGGACUGAGACACGGCCCAGACUCCUACGGGAGGCAGCAGUGGGGAAUAUUGGACAAUGGGCGAAAGCCUGAUCCAGCAAUGCCGCGUGAGUGAUGAAGGCCUUAGGGUUGUAAAGCUCUGUCACCGGGGGAAGAAACGCUUCAAGUUAAUAGCUUGAAGCCUGACUUAACCCGGAGAGGAAGCAGUGGCUAACUCUGUGCCAGCCG
RNAcentral lists this ribosomal RNA (464 nucleotides) under uncultured bacterium. RNAcentral describes it as "bacterial SSU rRNA". It matches the Rfam family "Bacterial small subunit ribosomal RNA", at positions 29 to 514 of the family's 1533-position model. The record is from RNAcentral.